Long non-coding RNA from Lynx canadensis (Canada lynx), 716 nucleotides. RefSeq lists it as uncharacterized. The transcript has 4 exons. NCBI's taxonomy places the organism in Eukaryota, Metazoa, Chordata, Mammalia, Carnivora, Felidae. The record is from RefSeq and is a predicted model, not a curated record.
GUCGAGCUGCCGAGAAAGCCCCGGGGGACUUUGCUCAGCGGGACCCUGGAACUCUUCUGCUAGAGUAACCGAGAGCUACGGGCUGCGGGGCUGGAGGAGCUGAGCUGACGAUCCGCACGUUGGCGGUGACCGGGUCUCCGCACACAAAGGCCACUCCACCUGGGUGACCACCACCACGUCUUGAGUCCCGAAGUGGCGGCGAGGCGCGAUCGGAGAGGUAUUUGCUGAGCACCUGGUAUGUUCAGGAUACCGAUAAAGAAGUGUGUGUGAGAUGGUGUAGAAAGUCAUGAACCUUUAUACGAGACUGUAGAAGAAGCAGGUCAUCUGAUGGCAGGACUGCUAGGGAAGUAAAGUAUGAAGAAUGCACGUGUGUCUCCAAAGGCAAACUGGCCACAUGUCGUCUCUGCGAUGGCCAGAGGUGAUGGCCUGGAAGAGCUGUGGCCAGUGAGGAGGGACCAGACUCCUUGGAAGAUGAAGGCCACUGCAGAGUGCACACUCCACUCAGAUCAGGUUGUUGACCUCUUUUUCUUCUUUUCAUGAUGUCCACCCAUUCCUAUGCAUGCCACAUGUAGCGUCACCACCAUACCAUCUCCGGCUUGCUCUCCAGGAAGAAUACGUGGAAGAUGACGUUUGAUUCUUCCUGCUGGCUGCUGACCCUAGAGAGACAUCAUGGACAACAUGGACACUCACUUCAACAUGAGGCUACUGAGACGUGU